GCCAGGCAUGGUAGCGCAUGCCUGUAGUCCCAGUUACUCAGGAGGCUGAGGCAGAAGAAUUGCUUGAACCCAGGAGGCAGAGGUUGCAGUGAGCCGAGAUCACGCCACUGCACUUCAGCCUGGGCAAUAGAGUGAGACUCUGUCUCAA
This is an unclassified non-coding RNA of Callithrix jacchus (white-tufted-ear marmoset), 148 nucleotides long. It matches the Rfam family "Metazoan signal recognition particle RNA". From Rfam's summary of the family: The signal recognition particle (SRP) is a universally conserved ribonucleoprotein. It is involved in the co-translational targeting of proteins to membranes. The eukaryotic SRP consists of a 300-nucleotide 7S RNA and six proteins: SRPs 72, 68, 54, 19, 14, and 9. The record is from Ensembl. NCBI's taxonomy places the organism in Eukaryota, Metazoa, Chordata, Mammalia, Primates, Cebidae.